Molecule: ribosomal RNA, 359 nt
Filed under: uncultured Caldisericum sp.
Lineage: Bacteria; Pseudomonadati; Caldisericota; Caldisericia; Caldisericales; Caldisericaceae
Description: bacterial SSU rRNA
Rfam family: Bacterial small subunit ribosomal RNA
Source: RNAcentral
CAUGGCUCAUCCACAGGUGCUGCAUGGUUGUCGUCAGCUCGUGUCGUGAGAUGUAAGGUUAAGUCCUUGAACGAGCGCAACCCUUUCGUCAGUUGCAAACCAGCAAUGGCGCACCCUGACGAUACUGCCAGCUAAAAGUUGGAGGAAGGAGGGGAUGACGUCAAAUCCUCAUGGCCUUUAUGUCCAGGGCUACACACAUGCGACAAUGGUCGGUACAACGGGUUGCAACACCGCGAGGUGAAGCCAAUCCCUAAAAACCGGCCUCAGUUCAGAUUGCAGACUGCAAUUCGUCUACAUGAAGAUGGAGUUGCUAGUAACCGCGGGUCAGCUACACCGCGGUGAAUAUGUUCCCGGGCCUU